This 155-nucleotide ribosomal RNA is filed under the name Eunotia bilunaris. Its description in RNAcentral is "5.8S ribosomal RNA". It matches the Rfam family "5.8S ribosomal RNA". Rfam says of the family: 5.8S ribosomal RNA (5.8S rRNA) is a component of the large subunit of the eukaryotic ribosome. It is transcribed by RNA polymerase I as part of the 45S precursor that also contains 18S and 28S rRNA. Functionally, it is thought that 5.8S rRNA may be involved in ribosome translocation. Lineage: Eukaryota; Bacillariophyta; Bacillariophyceae; Eunotiales; Eunotiaceae. The record is from RNAcentral.
CAACUUUCAGCAACGGAUGUCUAGGUUCCCACAACGAUGAAGAACGCAGCGAAAUGCGAUACGUAAUGCGAAUUGCAAGACCUCGCGAAUCAUCAAGAUUUUGAACGCACAUUGCACUUGCGGGAUUUUCCCGGAAGUAUGCUUAGCUGAGUGUC